GGAUAACAGUUGGAAACGACUGCUAAUACCGCAUAAGCGCACAGGAUCGCAUGAUCCGGUGUGAAAAACUCCGGUGGUAUGAGAUGGAUCCGCGUCUGAUUAGCCAGUUGGCAGGGUAACGGCCUACCAAAGCGACGAUCAGUAGCCGACCUGAGAGGGUGACCGGCCACAUUGGGACUGAGACACGGCCCAAACUCCUACGGGAGGCAGCAGCGGGGAAUAUUGCACAAUGGGGGAAACCCUGAUGCAGCGACGCCGCGUGAGCGAAGAAGUAUUUCGGUAUGUAAAGCUCUAUCAGCAAGGAAGAAGAAUGACGGUACCUGACUAAGAAGCACCGGCUAAAUACGUGCCAGCAGCCGCGGUAAUACGUAUGGUGCAAGCGUUAUCCGGAUUUACUGGGUGUAAAGGGAGCGCAGGCGGUGCGGCAAGUCUGAUGUGAAAGCCCGGGGCUCAACCCCGGUACUGCAUUGGAAACUGUCGUACUAGAGUGUCGGAGGGGUAAGUGGAAUUCCUAGUGUAGCGGUGAAAUGCGUAGAUAUUAGGAGGAACACCAGUGGCGAAGGCGGCUUACUGGACGAUAACUGACGCUGAGGCUCGAAAGCGUGGGGAGCAAACAGGAUUAGAUACCCUGGUAGUCCACGUCGUAAACGAUGAAUACUAGGUGUCGGGGAGCAUUGCUCUUCGGUGCCGCAG
Molecule: ribosomal RNA, 693 nt
Filed under: uncultured bacterium
Lineage: Bacteria
Description: bacterial SSU rRNA
Rfam family: Bacterial small subunit ribosomal RNA
Source: RNAcentral